Molecule: long non-coding RNA, 453 nt
Filed under: Cricetulus griseus (Chinese hamster)
Lineage: Eukaryota; Metazoa; Chordata; Mammalia; Rodentia; Cricetidae
Description: lncRNA (ENSCGRG00000026567.1)
Source: RNAcentral
AUGACUCUGCAUGCCAAAUGCUAUGCUGGGCCUGCUGGAAUGCAGCCUCUUACUCAUCACAAUCACCCUAAAAGGAGGGGAGAUUGUAAGAGGUGUAGAGAACCCAAAGGUGGUCCAGCCAGGAAGCAAGACUGCGAGAUCCAUAGGUUCCAUUUCCAUGUAAUUGGUUUUCCUGAGCUGCAGAGUCCUGCAAGGCUGAACUCAUCCCACCCCUGUGAUGUGAGGUACCGGGUAUCCACAUUGUCUAUCAUGAUCUCUUUCAGCCAUGGUACAAAGCAUCUUGAGUCCUUAAGAGGAGAAUAAUGUCUUCUCUGUGGCAGACAUUGUUCCAGGCCUUCCUUUCAGCCUCAUGAUAACAUUACGGGUUAGAUAAGCAGGCAUGAUGUCACACACCUAUAAUCUCAGCACUUAGGAGUUAGAAGGAUCGGGAGUUCCGGGUCAGCCUCAUCAAUG